Molecule: ribosomal RNA, 253 nt
Filed under: uncultured bacterium
Lineage: Bacteria
Description: partial 16S ribosomal RNA
Rfam family: Bacterial small subunit ribosomal RNA
Source: RNAcentral
UACGAAGGGGGCUAGCGUUGCUCGGAAUCACUGGGCGUAAAGCGCACGUAGGCGGAUUGCUAAGUCAGGGGUGAAAUCCUGGAGCUCAACCCCAGAACUGCCCUUGAUACUGGCGGUCUCGAGUCCGGGAGAGGUGAGUGGAACUGCGAGUGUAGAGGUGAAAUUCGUAGAUAUUCGCAAGAACACCAGUGGCGAAGGCGGCUCACUGGCCCGGUACUGACGCUGAGGUGCGAAAGCGUGGGGAGCAAACAGG